GAUGAACGCUAGCGGCAGGCCUAAUACAUGCAAGUCGGACGGGAUUCAGGAGCUUGCUUCUGAUGAGAGUGGCGCACGGGUGCGUAACACGUAUGUAACCUACCUUUAUCAGGGGGAUAGCCUCCCGAAAGAGAGAUUAAGCCCGCAUAAAAUCACAGCACAGCAUUGUGUAAUGAUCAAAUAUUUAUAGGAUAAAGAUGGGCAUGCGGAACAUUAGCUAGAUGGAGGGGUAACGGCCCACCAUGGCGACGAUGUUUAGGGGAACUGAGAGGAUGGCCCCCCACACUGGUACUGGGACACGGACCAGACUCCUACGGGAGGCAGCGGUAAGGAAUAUUGGUCAAUGGGCGGAAGCCUGAACCAGCCAUGCCGCGUGCAGGAAGACGGGCCUACGGGUUGUAAACUGCUUUUAUGCGGGAAUAAACCCAGAUACGUGUAUCUGGCUGAAUGUACUGUAAGAAUAAGGAUCGGCUAACUCCGUG
Molecule: ribosomal RNA, 482 nt
Filed under: uncultured bacterium
Lineage: Bacteria
Description: partial 16S ribosomal RNA
Rfam family: Bacterial small subunit ribosomal RNA
Source: RNAcentral